Long non-coding RNA from Ipomoea nil (Japanese morning glory), 551 nucleotides. RefSeq lists it as uncharacterized. The transcript has 2 exons. The record is from RefSeq and is a predicted model, not a curated record. Lineage: Eukaryota; Viridiplantae; Streptophyta; Magnoliopsida; Solanales; Convolvulaceae.
UUUCGUUCUCAGUUUUUGUUGUUGAACUGAGACUAUCUAUCAGACUAGCUAGCGCAAAUGGAAGCAAUAAGGGUUUAAUGGAAUUCCGAAGCUGAUGGUUUGAUAAACAGUUAUUGAUUCGAUCAUCAUCGAGGUAAACAUGAGCAUAGCCAUACAUCCAAUGGCAUCAGAAUUUCAUUGGAGUUCUACGACUGUUGGUUUGAUAUAAAUCUUCCUUUUUUUCUGGGCUAUCUUUUAACUCAGGUAAUAAUAUGAUCAUUCUUUAUAUGAUUAUGGCAAAUCAUCUUAUCCAUUGUUGUUUACGGGCUGACGCUAGUCUUUGAGGGGAGCCUCAAUUUGGGUGAUCGGGAGAUCUCACACCGAUUCUUUGAAGGAGCUUAUCUUGAUUAGCUAAGUUGUAGUUGUACAUUCUUGUGUUCAUCAUUGUGAUUCGGUAUAUAACUUCUUUUGAGAUCAAUGAAGAAUCAGACAUUCAUUUCAUGUGAUGUCCCCUAGACGUAGGAGUUGAAUUCUCCGAACUGGAUUAUCAAACUCUGUGUUCAUUGUUGUCU